UCCCUGGUGGCUCAGGUGUAAAGAAUCUGCCUGCAAUGCAGGAGACCCAGGUUCCAUCCCUGGGUGGGGAA
RNAcentral lists this transfer RNA (71 nucleotides) under Bos taurus (domestic cattle). It matches the Rfam family "tRNA". From Rfam's summary of the family: Transfer RNA (tRNA) molecules are approximately 80 nucleotides in length. Their secondary structure includes four short double-helical elements and three loops (D, anti-codon, and T loops). RNAcentral also lists the same sequence under 5 other names. The record is from Rfam by way of RNAcentral. Lineage: Eukaryota; Metazoa; Chordata; Mammalia; Artiodactyla; Bovidae.